RNAcentral lists this ribosomal RNA (429 nucleotides) under uncultured bacterium. RNAcentral's name for it is "bacterial SSU rRNA". It matches the Rfam family "Bacterial small subunit ribosomal RNA", at positions 55 to 527 of the family's 1533-position model. The record is from RNAcentral.
AUGCAAGUCGACGGGCUCUUCGGAGCAAGUGGCGGACGGGUGAGUAACGCGUGAGAAUGUGCCUUCAGGAUGGGGAUAACAAUAGGAAACUAAUGCUAAGACCCAAUGUGCCUUAAGUGGUGAAAAAUGAAAAUUGCCUGAAGAGGAGCUCGCGUCUGAUUAGCUAGUUGGGGUGGUAAAAGCGCACCAAGGCAACGAUCAGUAGCUGGUCUUAGAGGAUGAGCAGCCACACUGGGACUGAGACACGGCCCAGACUCCUACGGGAGGCAGCAGUGGGGAAUUUUCCGCAAUGGGCGAAAGCCUGACGGAGCAAUACCGCGUGAGGGAGGAAGGCUCUUGGGUUGUAAACCUCAAAACUUAGGGAAGAAAAAAAUGACGGUACCUAAUUUAAGCAUCGGCUAACUCCGUGCCAGCAGCCGCGGUAAUACG